RNAcentral lists this ribosomal RNA (407 nucleotides) under uncultured bacterium. Its description in RNAcentral is "partial 16S ribosomal RNA". It matches the Rfam family "Bacterial small subunit ribosomal RNA", at positions 28 to 526 of the family's 1533-position model. The record is from RNAcentral.
GACGAACGCUGGCGGCGUGCUUAACACAUGCAAGUCGAACGAAGCGGCCGACGGGUGAGUAAUGCCUAGGAAUCUGCCUGGUAGUGGGGGAUAACGUCCGGACACGGGCGCUCAUACCGCAUACUAUCAGAUGAGCCUAGGUCGGAUUAGGUAGUUGGGGGGGUAAAGGCCUGCCAAGGCGACGAUCCGUAACUGGUCUGGGAGGAUGAUCAGUCACACUGGAACGGAGACACGGUCCAGACUCCUACGGGAGGCAGCAGUGGGGAAUAUUGGACAAUGGGCGAAAGCCUGAUCCAGCCAUGCCGCGUGUGUGAAGAAGGUCUUCGGAUUGUAAAGCACUUUAAGUUGGGAGGCGGUACCAGCAGAAUAAGCACCGGCUAACUUCGUGCCAGCAGCCGCGGUAAUAC